This 465-nucleotide ribosomal RNA is filed under the name Vreelandella stevensii. RNAcentral describes it as "partial 16S ribosomal RNA". It matches the Rfam family "Bacterial small subunit ribosomal RNA", at positions 338 to 795 of the family's 1533-position model. The record is from RNAcentral. Lineage: Bacteria; Pseudomonadati; Pseudomonadota; Gammaproteobacteria; Oceanospirillales; Halomonadaceae.
CCUACGGGUGGCUGCAGUGGGGAAUAUUGGACAAUGGGCGAAAGCCUGAUCCAGCCAUGCCGCGUGUGUGAAGAAGGCCUUCGGGUUGUAAAGCACUUUCGGUGGGGAAGAAAGCCUUGGGGCUAAUACCCUCGAGGAAGGACAUCACCCACAGAAGAAGCACCGGCUAACUCCGUGCCAGCAGCCGCGGUAAUACGGAGGGUGCGAGCGUUAAUCGGAAUUACUGGGCGUAAAGCGCGCGUAGGCGGUCUGAUAAGCCGGUUGUGAAAGCCCCGGGCUCAACCUGGGAACGGCAUCCGGAACUGUCAGGCUAGAGUGCAGGAGAGGAAGGUAGAAUUCCCGGAGUAGCGGUGAAAUGCGUAGAGAUCGGGAGGAAUACCAGUGGCGAAGGCGGCCUUCUGGACUGACACUGACGCUGAGGUGCGAAAGCGUGGGUAGCAAACAGGAUUAGAUACCCUGGUAGUC